GAUGAACGCUGGCGGCGUGCUUAAUACAUGCAAGUCGAGCGGACAGAUACGAAGUUUGCUGGUUUCUCGAUUGGGGCAGACGGGUGAGUAACGUGUGGGUAAUCCACCUAUCAGAGUGGUAAAACUCCGGGACAGGGGGGAAUAUCCCAGAGAACAUCUAGAUCCGCGGUGUUGUAGAGAGAAUGUCGGUGUUGCUUUCGCUUAUAGAUGGACCCGUGCCGGAUUAGGUAGUUGGUAAGGUAACGGCUUACCAAGGCAACGAUGCGUAGCCGACCUGAGGGGGGGAUGGCCGACACUGGAAGUGUGCCGCGGUCCAGGGUCCUACGGGAGGCCGCAGUAGCGACUCUUCGGCACUGGGCGGAAGCCUGCCGGAGCGGCGCCGCGCGGGUGAUGAAGGGCUUCGGAGCGUAAGACUCUGUUAUGGGUGAAGACCACAUUUGUAAGGAACUGAGCACGUCGUGACGGUACCUGGUCAGGAAGCACCGGCUAACUACGUG
This 497-nucleotide ribosomal RNA is filed under the name uncultured bacterium. RNAcentral describes it as "partial 16S ribosomal RNA". It matches the Rfam family "Bacterial small subunit ribosomal RNA", at positions 28 to 507 of the family's 1533-position model. The record is from RNAcentral.